GUAGCGGCGAGCGAAACGGGAAAAGCCCAAACCAAGAUGCUUGCAUCUUGGGGUUGUAGGACUCCGAUAUGGUAGUCCAACCAGAUAGUCGAAUGACUUGGAAAAGUCAGUCAAAGAGGGUAAAACCCCGUAGACGAAAUGUGGUUGACACCUAGGGGGAUCCUGAGUACGGCGGAACACGAGGAAUUCCGUCGGAAUCCGGGAGGACCAUCUCCCAGGGCUAAAUACUCCCUAGUGACCGAUAGUGAACCAGUACCGUGAGGGAAAGGUGAAAAGCACCCCGGAAGGGGAGUGAAAUAGAUCCUGAAACCGUGUGCCUACAACAAGUUAGAGCCCGUUAAUGGGUGAUAGCGUGCCUUUUGUAGAAUGAACCGGCGAGUUACGAUAGCAUGCGAGGUUAAGUUGAAGAGACGGAGCCGUGGCGAAAGCGAGUCUGAAUAGGGCGAAUGAGUAUGUUGCCGUAGACCCGAAACCAUGUGAUCUACCCAUGUCCAGGUUGAAGGUGCGGUAAAACGCACUGGAGGACCGAACCCACGUACGUUGAAAAGUGCGGGGAUGAGGUGUGGGUAGCGGAGAAAUUCCAAACGAACUUGGAGAUAGC
This 601-nucleotide ribosomal RNA is filed under the name uncultured Enterococcus sp. Its description in RNAcentral is "bacterial LSU rRNA". It matches the Rfam family "Bacterial large subunit ribosomal RNA", at positions 243 to 849 of the family's 2925-position model. Lineage: Bacteria; Bacillati; Bacillota; Bacilli; Lactobacillales; Enterococcaceae. The record is from RNAcentral.